UACGAAGGGGGCUAGCGUUGCUCGGAAUCACUGGGCGUAAAGCGCACGUAGGCGGCUUACUAAGUCAGGGGUGAAAUCCUGGAGCUCAACUCCAGAACUGCCUUUGAUACUGGUGAGCUUGAGUCCGGAAGAGGUGAGUGGAACUGCGAGUGUAGAGGUGAAAUUCGUAGAUAUUCGCAAGAACACCAGUGGCGAAGGCGGCUCACUGGUCCGGUACUGACGCUGAGGUGCGAAAGCGUGGGAGCAACA
Molecule: ribosomal RNA, 249 nt
Filed under: uncultured bacterium
Lineage: Bacteria
Description: partial 16S ribosomal RNA
Rfam family: Bacterial small subunit ribosomal RNA
Source: RNAcentral